UAAGAUGGUGCGAUGAUCGCUUGAUUAAUCAAGAGGAAAGUCCGGGCUCCACUGGAAAAUAAAACCAGGUAACACCUGGCAAGUGAAAGCUUAGGGAAAGUGCAACAGAAAAUAAACCGCCUAUGAAUUUAGGUAAGGGUGAAAAGGUGAGGUAAGAGCUUACCGCAAUAUUGGUAACAGUAUUGGCAUUGAAAACCCUUUUAGGAGCAAGGCCAAAUAGGAGUAAUGUUAUAUUCCAGUAAAGUUACUCGGGUAGGCUGCUUGAGACAAAUGGUGACAUUUGUUCUAGAUUAAUGAUCAUCAAAUUUAUAAUUAAAUUUACAGAACCCGGCUUAUGCACCAUCUUUUAUA
This 351-nucleotide RNase P RNA is filed under the name Alphaproteobacteria bacterium. Its description in RNAcentral is "RNase P RNA component class A". It matches the Rfam family "Bacterial RNase P class A". Rfam says of the family: Ribonuclease P (RNase P) is a ubiquitous endoribonuclease, found in archaea, bacteria and eukarya as well as chloroplasts and mitochondria. Its best characterised activity is the generation of mature 5'-ends of tRNAs by cleaving the 5'-leader elements of precursor-tRNAs. Cellular RNase Ps are ribonucleoproteins. Lineage: Bacteria; Pseudomonadati; Pseudomonadota; Alphaproteobacteria. The record is from RNAcentral.